UGGGGAAUUUUGGACAAUGGGCGCAAGCCUGAUCCAGCCAUGCCGCGUGCAGGAUGAAGGCCCUCGGGUUGUAAACUGCUUUUGUACGGAACGAAAAGCCUCUUUCUAAUAAAGAGGGGUGAUGACGGUACCGUAAGAAUAAGCACCGGCUAACUACGUGCCAGCAGCCGCGGUAAUACGUAGGGUGCGAGCGUUAAUCGGAAUUACUGGGCGUAAAGCGUGCGCAGGGGUCUUGCAAGACAGUGGGGAAAUCCCCGGGCUCAACCUGGGAACUGCCAUUGUGACUGCAAGGCUGGAGUACGGCAGAGGGGGAUGGAAUUCCGCGUGUAGCAGUGAAAUGCGUAGAUAUGCGGAGGAACACCGAUGGCGAAGGCAGUCCCCUGGGCCUGUACUGACGCUCAUGCACGAAAGCGUGGGGAGCAAACA
RNAcentral lists this ribosomal RNA (426 nucleotides) under uncultured bacterium. RNAcentral describes it as "bacterial SSU rRNA". It matches the Rfam family "Bacterial small subunit ribosomal RNA", at positions 355 to 774 of the family's 1533-position model. The record is from RNAcentral.